RNAcentral lists this unclassified non-coding RNA (379 nucleotides) under uncultured bacterium. RNAcentral's name for it is "contains 16S-23S intergenic spacer region". The record is from RNAcentral.
UCCGGUUUGUCACCGGCAGUCUCAUUAGAGUGCCCAACUGAAUGUAGCAACUAAUGACAAGGGUUGCGCUCGUUGCGGGACUUAACCCAACAUCUCACGACACGAGCUGACGACGGCCAUGCAGCACCUGUGUUCUGGUUCUCUUUCGAGCACUCCCGCAUCUCUGCAGGAUCCCAGACAUGUCAAGGGUAGGUAAGGUUUUUCGCGUUGCAUCGAAUUAAACCACAUCAUCCACCGCUUGUGCGGGUCCCCGUCAAUUCCUUUGAGUUUUAGCCUUGCGGCCGUACUCCCCAGGCGGGGCACUUAAUGCGUUAGCUACGGUACGGAGAACGUGGAAUGUCCCCCACACCUAGUGCCCAACGUUUACGGCAUGGACUAC